GACGAACGCUGGCGGCGUGCCUAACACAUGCAAGUCGAGCGGAGUCAGUAAGAGGAAGUUUUCGGAUGGAAUCUUAUUGAUUUAGCGGCGAACGGGUGAGUAACGCGUGAGCGACCAACCUUGCACAGGGGGAUAACGGACCGAAAGGUUCACUAAUACCGCAUGAGACCACGGUGUUGCAUGACACAGGGGUCAAAGGAGUAAUCCGGUGCAAGACGGGCUCGCGUCCGAUUAGGUAGUUGGAGGGGUAACGGCCCACCAAGCCGAUGAUCGGUAGCCGACCUGAGAGGGUGAUCGGCCACAUUGGAACUGAGAUACGGUCCAAACUCCUACGGGAGGCAGCAGUGGGGAAUAUUGGGCAAUGGGGGAAACCCUGACCCAGCAACGCCGCGUGAAGGGAGAAGGUUUUCGGAUUGUAAACUUCUGUCCUUGGUGAAGAGAAGAAGACGGUAGCCAAGGAGGAAGCCCCGGCUAACUACGUGCCAGCCGCCGCGGUAA
RNAcentral lists this ribosomal RNA (498 nucleotides) under uncultured bacterium. RNAcentral describes it as "partial 16S ribosomal RNA". It matches the Rfam family "Bacterial small subunit ribosomal RNA", at positions 28 to 523 of the family's 1533-position model. The record is from RNAcentral.